RNAcentral lists this ribosomal RNA (230 nucleotides) under uncultured bacterium. RNAcentral's name for it is "partial 16S ribosomal RNA". It matches the Rfam family "Bacterial small subunit ribosomal RNA", at positions 15 to 209 of the family's 1533-position model. The record is from RNAcentral.
GAUCCGGCUCAGGAUAAACGCUGGCGGCGCACAUAAGACAUGCAAGUCGAACGGAAGUCGUUAUAAAAAGGAUUGAAGAUUUAUCUGAUUGAGAUUUUAUAACAAUGGCUUUAGUGGCGGACUGGUGAGUAACGCGUGAGCAACCUGCCUACUAGAGGGGAAUAACAGUGAGGAAUCAUUGCUAAUACCGCAUAUGCCAUGAACAUCACAUGAUGAAAAUGGGAAAAGAG